UUCUAAGGUACGGUAUCUUGACUGCA
RNAcentral lists this small RNA (26 nucleotides) under Bombyx mori (domestic silkworm). Its description in RNAcentral is "ovarian small RNA-37455". Lineage: Eukaryota; Metazoa; Arthropoda; Insecta; Lepidoptera; Bombycidae. The record is from RNAcentral.